AGCACAUGUAGUUUGUGGUGAAUGCAAUUUCAGGGAACCAAGGCUUAAUCCCAGAGAUACAAUAAUAUCAGGCAUUGGACAGAGGAGCAAAGUCAGAGACAGCAGCUGAGAAGUUGAGAGCUGGCGUCAUUAGAACAGGCUGGGAAAUAUGAGUGUGAGGCAUGUCUCGGCAGGAAGGUCCAGCAUUGGCCGGGGAACAAAGCAGACUUCUUGGCAUGCCCUCUCGCUGAGGCUAUGUGAACUGCUGGGCAGGCCGGCCUGCUUAAAGAUCUCACUCCGGACAAGUAAACACCAAUACCACCAACCUGAGUAGGCCUUCCAUGAAAUACUGGGGACACUAAGAAGCCACACCCCCUGAAACAUUCUAUGGUCAUUCAGCAUUUGAAGCAAAUUGGAAAGGUGAAAAACCUGAUAAG
Molecule: long non-coding RNA, 416 nt
Filed under: Homo sapiens (human)
Lineage: Eukaryota; Metazoa; Chordata; Mammalia; Primates; Hominidae
Description: non-protein coding lnc-CAND1-1:1
Source: RNAcentral